Molecule: RNA transcript, 7071 nt
Organism: Cavia porcellus (domestic guinea pig)
Lineage: Eukaryota; Metazoa; Chordata; Mammalia; Rodentia; Caviidae
Gene: P2ry1
Gene name: purinergic receptor P2Y1
Exons: 2
Source: RefSeq, marked provisional
CCCACCCCGCCGGACUGGGCUCUCCCGCCAGCCCCCUGCUCUCCGGACUGAGCAGGGUAGCCGGAGCGCUUCGACUGCAUGGACGGCAGACGGGAGGCAACUUAGCAGCGCUCCAGGCUGCGGUCACGCGCGCUCCCAUGGCCCUCGGAGGCUGAGCGCGGGGGAGAGGGGAGCCCGGAAGAAGCGACUCGGACCACGAAGGACCUUCUUGCUUCCAAGGUAGGAGAAGGAAGAUGCCCGAGGGAAGUUGAGCUUUGGGAGAAGGAGGGUGGGCUGCGCCCUCUUCGCUGGACCACAGCCGGGCGAGUUUGGCUUGAUCUCACUGUGCACCAGGAGUGCUCCGCAGCGCGGACCCGCGGACCCUCGGGAAAGCACGUUUGGAAAGUUGUCUGUGCCCUCUGCGCCCUGUUGUGUAACCUCUGCGCCGCCUGCCAGACAGGGAAGUUGCCGGUCGGCCCGCCAGCCUGCUUCGGUCACGGAUGCGAGCGAAUUUCAUGGCCCGAGGCGAACGCGCGCCCGGAGCCAGCGAGUGCGAGCCCCCGCGCGCCCCCUUCGGCGGGGAUCCCCCGCGCCCGAGUCCUUCCACUCGCCGGCUUUUCCGAUGCUCGCUGCGUGCGGUGCCAUCGCCGCCCUCUCGCCGCCGCUUGUCCUUCGUACCUGCUGCCUAAAUCGGGGAGGAGAGAAUGACCGAGGUUCUGUGGCCGGCUGCCCCCAACGGGACGGACGCUGCCUUCCUGGCCAGUCCGGGCUUUCACUGGGGAAACAGCACAGCCACCUCCACCGCCGCCGCUGCCGCCCCCUUCAGAUGUGCCCUGACCAAGACAGGCUUCCAGUUCUACUACCUGCCGGCCGUCUACAUCGUAGUGUUCAUCAUCGGCUUUCUGGGCAACAGCAUAGCCAUCUGGAUGUUUGUCUUCCAUAUGAAACCUUGGAGCGGCAUCUCCGUGUACAUGUUCAACUUGGCCCUGGCCGACUUCUUGUAUGUGCUGACUCUGCCAGCCCUCAUCUUCUACUACUUCAAUAAGACCAACUGGAUCUUCGGGGAUGCCAUGUGCAAACUGCAGAGAUUCAUCUUCCACGUGAACCUGUAUGGAAGUAUCUUGUUCCUGACGUGCAUCAGCGCACACAGGUACAGCGGCGUGGUGUACCCACUCAAGUCCCUGGGCAGGCUCAAAAAGAAGAACGCUGUCUACAUCAGUGUGCUCGUGUGGCUCAUCGUGGUGGUGGCCAUCUCUCCCAUUCUGUUCUACUCUGGAACCGGAAUCCGGAAAAACAAAACCAUCACCUGCUAUGACACCACCUCAGAUGAGUAUCUGCGAAGUUAUUUCAUCUACAGCAUGUGCACCACCGUGGCCAUGUUCUGUGUCCCCUUGGUACUGAUUCUGGGCUGUUACGGAUUAAUUGUGAGAGCUUUGAUUUACAAAGACCUGGACAACUCGCCUUUGAGGAGGAAAUCCAUUUACCUGGUGAUUAUUGUACUGACUGUUUUUGCUGUAUCUUAUAUCCCUUUCCAUGUGAUGAAAACGAUGAAUUUGAGAGCCCGGCUAGAUUUUCAGACUCCAGAAAUGUGUACUUUCAAUGACAGGGUGUAUGCUACUUAUCAGGUGACAAGAGGUCUAGCAAGUCUCAACAGCUGUGUGGACCCCAUUCUGUAUUUCUUGGCUGGUGAUACUUUUAGAAGGAGACUUUCCCGAGCAACCAGGAAAGCUUCCAGAAGAAGUGAGGCAAAUUUGCAAUCCAAGAGUGAAGACAUGACCCUCAAUAUUUUAUCGGAGUUCAAGCAAAAUGGAGAUACAAGCUUGUGAAGGCACAAGAAUUCCCAAACACCUCACUUUGUAACAUGGUAGGAUGCUUAACAGAGCCAAGUACUUUCUCCCCUUUGAGUUUCUAGUAAAAUUAUAAAAAUCGAAACAAGAAAGUAGUGAAUUAAAAAAAAAAAUAGAGCAGCAAAAGAGCCCACAUUCAUACUUAAUUAUUUGGUUUUGUCGUCAGUCUCGCUUCUGACUGACUAGAGGUAUGUCUAAUAAAACAAUACUGCAUAGUUAAACAUUUACUUUUCUUCUGCCUUAAGUUACAAGCUUUUUGUAAAGUGUGUAUGCACAUGAAUACUGGAGCUGUUUUAAUAUUGAGAAGUUCUCAAAUAAUCUAGACCCCAAAACUUGAAUUUUUAAAAAAUUUUUACAGGCUUUAUCAUUUUUAAUAAACCAUGGCAUGAACAAGCUGGAAAUCCAAAUUCCUAAAAUAUUUAGCACAGCCUAUCAAAUUUCAUUCAAUACAGAUCUUGCUAUCUUUUUCAAUUCCUCGCAAGCAUAAAUGGUAGCUGCAUUUCUUUGGGGAAUUGAGUAGAAAAGUAAAGUCAAUGAACCUAAAAGUCUGAAAAUUUUAAUUUUUCUGUUAUUUCUAGAAAGCUGCAUAUUGGGUGCUAAAUGUUGAUGGUGGAAUCCUGAAUCUGUAAUCUUAGUGGAAGAUGCAAUGCAGAUGUCACAGUGCAUCUGUUUUCAUUGUAAACACCAUGAACCUGUUAGACUUCCUGAAAUAAAGCACAUUUACUUGUACUACUGUUGUGCAAGACCUUAGGACUUUGUGUUCCAAGACAAGGGCUCACUCACAUCUGAAAUAACAGUUUUUCAAGACUCACAGUUAAGUUACAGACUAAAGUUUGAGUAAAGUUAAAUAAUUGUUUUCAAAUGGAGGGAUAUGGAGCAUGAGAACAGUAUUUUCAGAAGGGGUGUGGCUGGCAGUCAUGCACCGUGCAUAGCCUAGAAUAUAGUCCUCCCAAGUAUGUGAGGCAGCUGGAGGGGGAUAGAAAGAAGGCCUUUUGGAAUAACGUCUCUAAAAUCACAGUGUGAAAGGGUUCUUUUUGCUUCGAGGCAUUUAAAAUAUGAAAUGCAGCAUGAAAAGAAAGAGAAAUAGAAUUUUUACAGGCUGUGUUGAUAGCAUGGGAAGCUAUAAUAUGUUAAUAAGUCUUAUAUCCUAACACAUAGAGAAACAGAAAUGCAUAUGGAAAGAUAAAUACAGAGAAUUAAAGUAUAGUAGCUCUGAGAAGUAAACUGCAACAUACUAUUCAAACUACUAGUAAUUAAAGAGAAAAAGACAGGUCAGUGUAUUUUGUAUUUGUUCUCUGCCAGGCAUUAAUGAGAGAUUUGCAAAAUAUUUCAACAACAUUAAUAACAAUUUUCUUUCUUCCUUAUUUUUGUCAUUGGUACAUGUUUGCAGUACAUUGGUACAUGUUUAUAUUCCCUGUAUGGAGUUGGUACAAGUAUAUGACACAUCUGCAUUCCUUUUUUCAGUCCCUUUUCUUCCCUCAUUCCUCUUCUCCUCCAUCUCUGAAGUGAUGGAUUUCUUGCCCUUAAAAUAGUUAAAAUUUGUAUAAUGAGAAUAUGAGUAAAUAUAGUUACCAAAAAUGAGUAAGUUUACUGUCCAAGAACUUUUAGUUGUGAAAGCUAGCCCUUAUGAAGUCCUCAUCAGAGUUUAUAACUAAUAAUCAAGUAACUUGUUUAAAAACACCUUGUAAUUUAAGAAAUAUGGGGUUGUAGCACACUAUGGGACAUAAGAACAGGGAAGUGAGGAUCAGCUCUUGAAAUGCCCAGGUAGAUUGAACAUUUAUGUGAUAUUCAGAGCUGCUUCAGCUUAAUCUCUAGCCACUAGGAUCAAUGUUUUAAAAGCUAUAUUUUGCCUACUUGCAUAGUGGCACUUUUUAUAUGUUCAUACUUAAUGUAUAAGGUUAUAAAAACCUCAUUGAGAAGACUUGUCCACUUCCUCAUUGUGAGGUUUUCAAAUUUCUCAUGAGGCUUAUAACAACACUGUUUUUGAAUCCUAAAAGGCAGACCCUAAAACACCGCGUUUACUGUAUUAGUCCUUUUAUACGUAUGUUCAGUGAAACAAGAUCAAUAUAGUUAAACUGACCAAAAUAGUAAUUUCAGAGCCUGCACCAUACUUGAACUCACAGCAUAAUGUACACAUUUCUAUUACAUUUCCUCACCAUGUAAUUUAGUUUCCUUCCUUUUAGGUCUCAGGAUACCCAUGCUGGUUUUGAGUAUAUGCAGUUUGUUUCAGCUUCCAGGGAACUUUCUUUGGGAGAGUGGGUCCAGCUAGGAGUGCACAGUGACUCGAUUUGCCCUUUUACUUCUUGGCAUGCUUUUUCCAGGUUGUUUCUUUUCUGUUUCUUUACCUAGCUUUAGGGUUUGAACCUAGGUAUUUGAACAUGUUAGGCCCUCUACUACUGAGCUACAUCCCCAUCCACAAAAGUGUUUUGCUCUUAGCUUUAUACAUCAUGCCAGGGGUAACGACAUGAUAUGCCGAACAGUAAUAAGAAUGAUCUUUCCAACUUCUUCCAGGCCAAGAGAAGUACCUGGAAAGAUCUGUGUGAAAACUUAUAGAGGGUCAGGAUGAAGCACUGAUCUGUCAGCUGAAAAGCUGAUUCAUGCCAUGUGAUGAUAUGAGGUCCAAAGAUACUCAGAUACAAAUUCCCAAGAAAAUUGCAAGUUAUAAUUACAGAAUUCAGAAGACAGCUAUCCAGGUAUACAUUUAAGUCGUCAUAUAUAAGUUGUAACUUCCAUGGCAGCUAUGUAUGAGGUAAAGGAUAUUGGCUACUGCAAGGAAAAAUCUGAGCAUAAAAACUGGGAAAUUAUGAAGAAUACAUGAAGGUGGCUUAGAUGAUUAGAAUGAGAGGAAAACACACAUAAAUACGUAAACUUAACCUUUUUGAGAAGAGAAAAAUGUAAGUUCAACAUUUCUGAAAUCAAGUAUGUUAAGAAAUAAAAUAAUUCAUUGGGUAUCAAAUAUGUUAGAUAAGUUUGGUUAAAUAGAGUCAUUGUGGAAUGUAAUUACAUGAAAAAUCUUGAAGAAGGAAUAGGAAGUGUGGAAGUUUGAUGUGGAAUACAUUUUUCUUAGAACAGCUAUGGGUAGAAUGAAAGAAUGAGGAUUCUAGAGAUAUUUUUAUGUUUUGUUUGACUUGCAAAAGAUGUAAGAGGAUUCAGCAAGGAACCAGAACUGAGAAUGAAAGAUAAAAAUAAAUGACUUGCAGUUGUUUUGAAGGGAUAGGAAGGAGAUACACUGAUAACACAAGUGGCAGAGCUAACUCUGAUCAAGUGAAGCUAUGACUGCCUUCCUUUUGAGCCAAAUGAUCUUGGAGAAAGACCCCUAAGUUUCAAGGUGCAAAAGUGCAGGCAAGGCUAUGUUCACAUGGUAGCUUCAAUUUCUUUCUUGAAGGAUAACACUGGGAAAGCACUUGUCAUUGAAAUGGAACAGGCUAGCGAGUGUUGAAAAGGAGAGAUUUUUAAAGGAGCUUAUGGUCUGAGCAUGGGAUACUGAAGCGUAGGAUUUCUCAGUUCACUAAUGAUGAGAAUGAAAGACACACAGUAAAAUAAGAGAUGAAGAAAGCAGGGAGCUGUCAUGGAUGAGUAGUUCUCACAGUGAGCCCUAGGAUUCUGAUAGAAAUCAGGGGCAGGAAAACAGAGUCAGGUCCAAAGUUCUCAGUGCUACUGUGAUUGCGGUGAUACUGACAAGAAGAAGGAGUGACAUUGAUGACACGAAUUUCAGAACAGGAUGAUUUCUGUAGAAAGACUUGCAAACAGUGGUCCACCAACCCCCAUGGGGAGCUGAAAGAAUGCGAUUUUUGCCAUAUUUUGAGAAUAAAGGCAUUAGGGAGAAAAGCAAAUCCUUCCCCUGAGAGGACUACAAAGAUAGUUCUGUUUUCUGAGCAGAGCCAAGUUUCAGUUAAUUAAUCAUGAUUAUGAUGAUGAUAGCAGCAUUUAUUAACACAUUACAAUCUAGGCACUUUUCCAAAUUUUUAUUCAUAGAAAGUUAUUUAUAACAAGCUAGAAGCAGUGGUGAUUUGUGAAGAUGCUGAUGGUUAAAAAAGAUGUGUUUUCGAUGAUAAAAUAAGUAAACUCCAGAAAGGUGCAAUGAAAAGGAUGGCAGAGUCAACAGGGAAAGUCAGCAAAACAUGCACAAUGUUGUAAUUAGAGAAUUAGCUUUUUAAGAAUUUGGCUACAGGCAGGGCUUGUGAAUCUUAUUCUUCAGAGGCACCACUUGUGGAUUCUCAAGGAGGAUAUACAAAAUAAAUAAGAAAAAAACCCCUCUAAAAUGACACAGCUUGUAACCAACUUAUAUGUAACCAUUGAUAUGUGUAAGGUAGGAUAUGCAGGUGACCCAUAAUUAUUCUUUUUUUUCUUGCUCUGAUUUAAGAUUCAGACUAAAAGAAAGUACAGGUAUCAUCUGUUUGACACCGCUCCUCACUCCAGCCUACAUUCUAAUGUCUUAGAAGAUGAAUCACAAACUUUUAUGCUGUGAGUCAAAUCUUAAUUGUGUUUGACCCAAAAACAUUUUUAAAUUUUAAUUAAUUCUCAACACUUGAAAAUUCAGGGCUUUUGUUUAAGGGACAAAGGAAGGUUAGAAUGAAAGAAAGAAGUUCAACUAACAUAACAAAUGGGGCUGUUAAGCAGCUCCAGUGGCCAAGUUUCAUCUCAGUUUCCCCAGGAAUUUUGCAGUUUCAACCAUGGGAAGCUUAUUUCCUCAAACCCUCUCACUUAUAAGAAAACUAGAAUAGCUGGACACAUGAGGUUCCCAUGCUCUUUUUAGACUGACAUAUCACAAUUUGAUGUUUGCUGAAAAUACUAUCACAUCAAUAGUUUUAAUUUGAUUAUCUCCUGUAGAUUGUUGAGUUUUCUAGAUUUUGGUCUGUCAAAGGAAGGACUUAACUGUUUUAAUUCUCCCAGACCAAGGAAGUGUAUCCUCAAAGGAAACUGACUGCCCUAAUUAAAAUAUCUUAAUGAUACAGAGAAAAGAAGUCCACAUAGAUGACUAGUUAAAAAGAAGAUAAAAGCCCACAAAUCCACCACGAAAUUUAUUAGCAUCUAUCCCAUACAUUCAUUGUACUCUAAAAUUUAACCUCAAUAAUGGCUUAUUUUGAUUUCAUAGCUUCUUGUGGGUGUACCUAGGUAGAGUUGGCCAUAUAUUACAUGCUGGUUAUACUUGGUGGCAAAAGAAAGAAAGAAAGAAAGAAAGAAAGAAAGAAAGAAAGAAAGAAAGAAAGAAAGAAAGGAAGAAAGAAAGAAAGAAAAAAUAGAA